This 253-nucleotide ribosomal RNA is filed under the name uncultured bacterium. Its description in RNAcentral is "partial 16S ribosomal RNA". It matches the Rfam family "Bacterial small subunit ribosomal RNA", at positions 524 to 776 of the family's 1533-position model. The record is from RNAcentral.
UACGUAGGGGGCAAGCGUUGUCCGGAAUUAUUGGGCGUAAAGAGCGUGUAGGCGGUCCGGUAAGUCAGCUGUGAAAGUCAAGGGCUCAACCCUUGAAAGCCGGUUGAUACUGUCGGGCUAGAGUCCGGAAGAGGCGAGUGGAAUUCCUGGUGUAGCGGUGAAAUGCGCAGAUAUCAGGAGGAACACCAAUGGCGAAGGCAGCUCGCUGGGACGUGACUGACGCUGAGACGCGAAAGCGUGGGGAGCAAACAGG